UAACCACUUACUACAAAGUAGCUUACUUUGUCUGCUUUAUUUUUCGCAAGUAGAUAGCUUGAUUCUAAUAUACACUUUUCUACAUCAUUACUUAGUUCAGUUACUUCUACUUCAGGUUGCAAACAGUGGAUAACCUUGUAAUUUUUACAUUAUGAUACUUGCCAUAGGAUUAUGUAGGCCUUAAUUAAAUUGAAGUAGUCUCAACUGUAAUGUUUUAACAGACAAACUAUUUAAAUGUCUCCGUGGUUUAACCACAACUUGCUUGCUUUUUUUUUUUUUUUUUUUUUUUUUUUUUUUUUUGCAGCUGCUCAGUAAACUGAGAAAGAGAAAUUAAAAGAAGAAUAUUCAGUGGUCAUUCAAAAUCUGAGUAUUCCUUUGAUGGAACUGAUAAAUAUACUAAGAGCAAAGUUGCGAAUGCCUCAGGAUUCAGGAAGCAGAAGAUUCUUAUACAGACCAGCUGAGUCUAGGAAGUGAACUAUACAAUCUUUUGGAAAGAACCUGAAGAAUCUAGUCUUUGAACCGACCUGAUGGCAAUCAAAAUCUGAAGAGGAAGUGUGACUGAAAAAGAACAAUCAGUAAGCAACAUGGUCCUUCCAGACAGACACCAGAAAAGUGCAUACAUCUGUCUAAUAGAGACCUUUCUGUGACCGGAAACCUCGUCUGCUUUCUAUGUGAUGCCCUAGGGAACAUAGUUUCUCUCUGGAUUGAGGAGAGAGAGAAAGAAGAAUGUCUGGGAGGAAGAAGAGAAAAUACCUUGUGUAGAAGCACUCUUUCCAUUGCUGAG
RNAcentral lists this long non-coding RNA (784 nucleotides) under Dromaius novaehollandiae (emu). RNAcentral's name for it is "lncRNA (ENSDNVG00000010185.1)". Lineage: Eukaryota; Metazoa; Chordata; Aves; Casuariiformes; Dromaiidae. The record is from RNAcentral.